AAUCCGAGAAUUUCACCUCCAACCGUGUAAUACAAAUACCCCCAAAUAUCCCUGUUAAUCAUUACCUUAGCUUUAGAAACCAACAAAAUAAAACCAAGGUCUUAUAUCAUUAUUCCAUGCUAAUAUAUUCAAGGCGCCUGCCUGCCGUAAACACUCUAAUUUCCUCAAAGUAAAAGUCCUGAAAUCCUGACCACUCAAUGAAGGGCAGCACAGUCUUUCAGAAGGAUGCCGAGAUCGAAGCAAAUACGCCUUCGGAGAAGGGACCACCCAACCUCAACAGAAAUCCAACUACGAGCUUUUUAACCGCAACAACUUUAAUAUACGCUAUUGGAGCUGGAAUUACCGC
This 346-nucleotide unclassified non-coding RNA is filed under the name uncultured fungus. Its description in RNAcentral is "sequence contains ITS1". The record is from RNAcentral. Lineage: Eukaryota; Fungi.